AGCUAAGAGGUUAAACAGACAGACAGACCCGGAAGCACAGAGAGCAAGUAGUAACAAAUAAGCUUAUCAUCAAUGGUCGACUACCUGUGGUUCCAAUAUUAACUUCUUGUGAACUGCAAAAGAUGGAUGGGCCCUGCUGAGAUGUGUUUUGCCGUACUGUUGCUAUGUUCCUGUGCAAGCCUGCUGAGUGGUGCUGCUUCAUAUCCAUACGAGAUCCCGGCAUCCCUAAUCAUUUCUGUCGCCGCAUUACCAACGUCGGAGUUCGCACCCAGAGCUGAGCAAAUUGGAUCUUCACGGGAGUCCAGCUUCAAUGUACUCAUGCACCGUGCGAAGCGAGCGACCAUGAAUAAUUCACCGGUUGAGUUCUCACCAGGACACUCAGGCUGCACAGCGGUCGAGUGGUUGGCGCACAGGCCUCACAGCCAGGAGACCGGAGUUUGAUUCCACCCUCGGCCAUCUCUGUGUGGAGUUUGCAUGUUCUUCCCGUGCAUGGUGUUCUCCGGGUACUCCGGGUUUCCUCCCACAUUCCCAAAACAUGCUAGGUUAAUUAAGUGACUCCAAAUUGUCCAUAGGUAUGAAUGUGAGUGUGAAUGGUUGUUUGUCUAUAUGUGCCCUUUGAUUGGCUGGCCACCAGUCCAGGGUGUAUCCCGCCUCUCGCCCGAAGACAGCUGGGAUAGGCUCCAGCACCCCCUGCGACCCUUGCAAGGAUAAACAGUAGAAAAUGUAUAUCCCGGCUCCCAUUGGUACUCGUGACUCGGUGCCUGACCCUACCGCUGACCAGUCCAGACUGUAGUCCGCCUAGCAACACCUCAGCCGCGGUACAGAACAAAAAUCGACAUAAUUGUAGGUAGUAUGGUGGUUCACAUCGCUGAAUUCCAAGCAGCUGGACGUGAUUCCGAGUCGUGCCCUGCGACGGACUCACCAGACGGCAUGCAACUGCUAAUCUUUUGAUUCCAGCACAGUAACAAGAUAAAAAAGCCACAUGCAAGAAGACCUAAAUCAGCACCACUAUUUUCUCCUCUUCAGGCUGGAGUGAAAUCCAUUUAGCUAUUGCAAGGGGGGAGUGAUUUCUCCAUUAUUUAUAAGAAUAAUUGCUCCCUAAUCAUGAAGUAUAUGGAGUGUGGGGAAUAAGGGUGGGGGUAGUGAUUUUCAUCCAAAUGGAAAUAUGGAUUUCCUUUUGAAAUAAACAACCUGUGUGGCUGCUCUUAAUGGGGGAUUGUACAGUAAAAUAAAGAUGCCACCGGAGACCUUUAAGGUUUUUGCAUCUGCAGUCCAUAUUGCAUUGCGGAACGAGGCAAAUGUUGCUAUUUUAAUGAAUUCGCCUGCAUUCUUUUGAACCGGGUUGGAAGAUACCAGUAGAAUCAGAGGAACAUAAAACACAUACUGAGUAGAAUUGUCGGAAUAGUAGUAUUUAUUCAUGAUGACAUCUGUACCACAGUACAUAUUCAGCUGCCUGCUUUUGGUUCGGCUCUAAAAACCUUCACUAGCGAAUCUUACCGAGGCUCCUAAUUGGCUGAGAAUGAAAGCAAACCAAGGAAAGGAGUAUAUUUUUUUUGAUGGGGUACAUUGGGUACACAAAACAACUGCAUUGGUUAUGUAUCUGUAUAUGAGAGACGUGCAGAGAAACAUAUCCGGGGGGACGCUGAGCGCUGACAGAUGACUGAUGGAGAAACAAAACGAGUGUCGUGUCGUGUAACUCACACAAAAACAAGUUCUCACUGCUUGUGGGCAACACUAACAAUGCGGGGACGGGGAUGACUCACACAGGGACAAACCAAAACUAAUUACAGCCCGUUUUUUUUUUCUAUUUAAAUAAAAAAAAUACCAUAUUAGCUACAACUGAACAAUAUAGUCAACUUUAAAAAUUGUUUAAACUGCUGGUCUAUGCCCCCCCACGAUAAUGCAUUUUUUCCAAAAGUAAAUAAUAAAUAAUAAUAAUGAUGGCUGUUUUGUGGUUCACUAUGGCCUAUUAUUAGUCAAAAAAUACUAAAAGACAAAUUAUAUUCAGUAUUGUGGUCACCAGGCAUCAGUAAUGUAACCUUUCACACUGCGUGGAGACUGGCUAUUGAGCCAGCAGAGCCGAUCACACAUGCCGUGGCUGAGAUUGAGUGAAAAAACAGCGUCUCCUCUCAUUCUGUGUGGAAGUGGUAUUUUUUUUUUAGGGGGGGGGAGUUGGACCUUCUUCCCCACUUCGUUUGAAACACUUUCUUCAUUUUCUUAAGUCUUAAAGGCCAUUUUUUGUAGCCUGCACAAUGUGAUC
Non-coding RNA from Doryrhamphus excisus (bluestripe pipefish), 2260 nucleotides. The record is from RefSeq and is a predicted model, not a curated record. Lineage: Eukaryota; Metazoa; Chordata; Actinopteri; Syngnathiformes; Syngnathidae.